UACGUAGGGUGCAAGCGUUGUCCGGAAUUAUUGGGCGUAAAGAGCUCGUAGGCGGUCUGUCGCGUCUGCUGUGAAAACUCGGGGCUUAACCCCGGGCCUGCAGUGGGUACGGGCAGACUAGAGUGCGGUAGGGGAGACUGGAAUUCCUGGUGUAGCGGUGAAAUGCGCAGAUAUCAGGAGGAACACCGGUGGCGAAGGCGGUGCUCUGGGCCGGAACUGACGCUGAGGAGCGAAAGCGUGGGGAGCAAACAGG
RNAcentral lists this ribosomal RNA (253 nucleotides) under uncultured bacterium. RNAcentral describes it as "partial 16S ribosomal RNA". It matches the Rfam family "Bacterial small subunit ribosomal RNA", at positions 524 to 776 of the family's 1533-position model. The record is from RNAcentral.